AGCGAACGCUGGCGGCGUACUUAACACAUGCAAGUCGAACGGGGAUUGUUGCGUGAGCAAUCGCGCUGUGGUCCUAGUGGCGUACGGGUGAGUAACACGUGGGUAACCUGCCCUCGGAGACCGGGAUACCCUCUCGAAAGGGAGGCUAAUACCGGAUACGUUCCCUGGACCGAAAGAUUUGGGGAGGAAAGGUGGCGUAAGCUGCCGCUCUUGGAGGGGCUCGCGGCCUAUCAGCUAGUUGGNGGGGUAAUUGCCUACCAAGGCGACGACGGGUAGCCGG
This 280-nucleotide ribosomal RNA is filed under the name uncultured bacterium. Its description in RNAcentral is "partial 16S ribosomal RNA". It matches the Rfam family "Bacterial small subunit ribosomal RNA", at positions 29 to 290 of the family's 1533-position model. The record is from RNAcentral.